UACAGAGGUCCCGAGCGUUGUUCGGAUUCAUUGGGCGUAAAGGGUGCGUAGGCGGCCCUGUAAGUCAGUGGUGAAAGCCUCCAGCUCAACUGGAGAACUGCCAUUGAUACUGCAGGGCUUGAGUACAGACGAGGUUGGCGGAAUUGAUUGUGUAGCGGUGAAAUGCAUAGAUACAAUCAAGAACUCCGAUUGCGUAGGCAGCUAACUAGGCUGUAACUGACGCUGAGGCACGAAAGCGUGGGGAGCGAACAGG
Molecule: ribosomal RNA, 253 nt
Filed under: uncultured bacterium
Lineage: Bacteria
Description: partial 16S ribosomal RNA
Rfam family: Bacterial small subunit ribosomal RNA
Source: RNAcentral